RNAcentral lists this transfer RNA (87 nucleotides) under Pseudobdellovibrionaceae bacterium. Its description in RNAcentral is "Bdellovibrionaceae bacterium tRNA-Leu". It matches the Rfam family "tRNA". Rfam says of the family: Transfer RNA (tRNA) molecules are approximately 80 nucleotides in length. Their secondary structure includes four short double-helical elements and three loops (D, anti-codon, and T loops). The record is from RNAcentral. Lineage: Bacteria; Pseudomonadati; Bdellovibrionota; Bdellovibrionia; Bdellovibrionales; Pseudobdellovibrionaceae.
GCGAAGGUGGUGAAAUUGGUAGACACGCUAGUCUCAGAAGCUAGUGUCCGCAAGGACGUGGGGGUUCAAGUCCCCCUCUUCGCACCA